CGCGAUAUCGAAGCCGAGUGAUGGUAGAC
This 29-nucleotide small RNA is filed under the name Bombyx mori (domestic silkworm). RNAcentral's name for it is "ovarian small RNA-14386". The record is from RNAcentral. Lineage: Eukaryota; Metazoa; Arthropoda; Insecta; Lepidoptera; Bombycidae.